AAAGGGGCUUCGGCUCCGAGUAAAGUGGCGCACGGGUGAGUAACACGUGGGUAACCUGCCUCUAAGAUUGGGAUAACUCGUCGAAAGAUGAGCUAAUACCGGAUAAGACCACAGUUCCCGCGGGAACAGGGGUCAAAGGUAGCCUCUGCUUGCAAGCUAUCACUUAGAGAUGGGCCUGCGCACCAUUAGCUAGUUGGUAGGGUAACGGCCUACCAAGGCAAAGAUGGUUAGCUGGUCUGAGAGGAUGAUCAGCCACACUGGAACUGAGACACGGUCCAGACUCCUACGGGAGGCAGCGGUGGGGAAUAUUGCGCAAUGGGCGAAAGCCUGACGCAGCAACGCCGCGUGAGUGAUGAAGGCCUUCGGG
This 367-nucleotide ribosomal RNA is filed under the name uncultured bacterium. RNAcentral describes it as "bacterial SSU rRNA". It matches the Rfam family "Bacterial small subunit ribosomal RNA", at positions 71 to 422 of the family's 1533-position model. The record is from RNAcentral.